Long non-coding RNA from Bactrocera neohumeralis, 2732 nucleotides. RefSeq lists it as uncharacterized. The record is from RefSeq and is a predicted model, not a curated record. NCBI's taxonomy places the organism in Eukaryota, Metazoa, Arthropoda, Insecta, Diptera, Tephritidae. The transcript has 3 exons.
CGCAUCUCCAACUCAGUAUAGUGUUGAGUUUACGCCCGUCAAGACGGUGAAUGGAAGAAUUUCGGAAAGCGAACACAAAAAGUUAUCACAAAAAAUAUCCGGGUAGAAAAUAGCAUUACACAGCGAAAGCACAAAAACAAAGCGGUACUCGUACUGCAACAACUAAAAGUGAAGAGCAACAACAACGCAAAGAAAAUUACUAUGAAAAACGUAAAUUGUAUGAAGUUACUGUGUAAAAUUGGUGUAACGAAAAUUUAUUUAUGUAGAAUAACUAGUUAAAGCGUUCAAGUGCCAAAAAGUAUGCAGUGAAAAUAUUGAGUAAAACGAGUAGUGUGCUGACGUUUGGAAAAGUUUCGCCGUUAAUGCUCGUCUAAAUGGGUGUCAAGAGCUAGGCAAAACUGUUGUAAUUUAGCCGGUUAAACUUUGCGCUAUGCCUGUCAAUGUGACUGACACAAUAGCAAGUGUUGCAUACUUUUAGGCUAUUGUAGCGAAAAUUGUUAGCUAAGCGAAUUACUUCCUUCGGGUAUCAAAUAUCACCCGCUGCGUUGGAAGUUUUGCAGUUAACAGUGAUAUAAUUGAAUUUUCGAUUGCUUGUCUCACUUUAAUGUAUUUGUGAGUUAUGUGUAUGUGUAUACGAAAGGUCAAAAUAAAAAAAAAUAUAUAUUGAAUUGGAAAAAAUACUUAAAAAUAUAGCAAUAAAUGUAAAAAACAGCGCAAGUGUCUACAAAGAACAGUUAUUUAAUAAAUAUUUGUGCUUUUACAGCCAUAUGCGCCUAAGGCUAUACUACUAAAACUGCGUUGGUUUGGUUUUACAGCUGCAUUGCUUACUGUUGCAGCAUUAGCGUUUUAACGUUUGACAGUUUUUUUCAUGGAUAGCAAUGUGAGCGAUAUUUGUGGUGCAUGAGUGCAGAUUAAAUACAAAAAUUACUAAUUCCCGGACUGGUAAUAAAUCAGCUGCUUUUAAUAAGAUACACUGGCAGUGGCAGAUAGCCAAGGGCGCGGAGAAAGCAGCAACAAACAAACCUAAGAGCAAAUAACAACAGCAACAACAACAAGAACCAAACAUAAAAUACCAUCGUGAUGGCAUGUCUACGAAAACAACAAACACAAGCAACAACACACAGUGACACGUCGUAAUGAUGUUGCUUUAUGCCAAAACAAGCGCAAGCAACCACAACAACAACAAUAAUAACAACAACAGCAGCCGCAGUAAACACUACCAGAUAACAAGCGACAUUAAAAACCAGUAACAGGCACUUGACAUUUUUAAAAUGUAAUCAAGCGUCAACGAGCACAAAGCGCACGCUGCCACUGACACAUUGCCUGACAUACAUUUAGGCGCACAUACAAGCGUUUGCUUUCACGCUUUUUGCCGCGCGUCCAUUUGCGCAUUUUACGAGCGUUUGCCAUAAGCAAAUUAACAACAACAAAGCCUAAGUAGGUGUGGAAGAGGUUGAAAAUGAAGAAAGCGGAAAUGAGCAAGCAGAAGGAAUAGUAGUAGAAUUCGAAGAAACAGCAGAAUAAAAAACACAACAACAAGUAGCGUGUACGGAUAACAAGAAAGCGCACAGCUGCCGCAUAACAGGCAUGAAAACGGCACGAGGAAAUAAAAUUUGAAUAGACAACAGCCAAGUGGACGUGAGUGCGCGCCUAAAAGCAGACGACGACUGCUGCGAAGCAGCACUUUCCCAGGCGACCUAAUUCAAUCGCUGGCGCGUUGUAUAGCUGGACGUGAAGGUGACAAGACGAAAGCGAAAAAAUAGAAAAGAUACCAACAACAACAACAAAAUUAAGCUUACACAAAAGAGUAAAGAGCGAGCUGAAAUGCAAAUGUAAACAAGUUGAUGCGCAAAUGCCUGUCAGCUGGAAUUUUUGCAAAUAAAUAGCGACGUUAAAUAUCCCAACUACAACAACAACAAAAUUAUUUAUAAUUUGAAAGCACAAAUUUAUCUACUUUACCGCGCUUUCGCAGCGAAAGAGUGGAACGUGACACAAUUUACAGCGGACAACGCGCUGGGUAUUUCAACAAGCUACGCGCCGGAAUUUCCUGCAUACCUGCCACCAAAAAAAAACGUUAUUACAGCAAAUGAAGGGUGAAAAAAGCAUAGAAAAUAGUCUGCAAUAAAAUGUGCCAAAAGUAAAUGCGAGUGAAAAAAGUUAUUUGUGUAUUUUAAUGAUUGUGUCAAUAACUUGGUGAAUAUUUGUUGCAUAAAUUUAGGAGCGCGCAUAAAAAACGUGACACGACAAGAGGAGUGGCGGGCAAUGAGAGCAUUUUUUGAAGUGUAGCAUACUUUUGCGCUGAUUUAAAAUAACGCGUUAAUAAAGAAACAUAUUUUAAGGCGUUUAAGUUACGCGUUGACAACAAGAAAAUUAAAAAAAUUAAAAAAAAAUUAAAAAAGAAUCAAAAACAAAAAUAAAAAAAGAUAAAAAUUAAAAAAAUAAACAAAGCGAAGCAUACAUUUAAGCGCAAAAGCUUAAAAUAUAUGUAUAUGUCAGAUACUUUAUAGUGAAGCCAAAAGCUAGAUAAAAUUACAGUGCAGCAUACAUUUAGGAGCUAAAGCAAAUUUCAACAGUGAAGAGAGCACACUAAGCACUGCUUAACAAAAAUUUAGCAUAACCUUAGGCAUGACAUGAUUAAAAAUAUUAAAAGUACAAGCAAAUACAAGUGCUAAGCUAUAUCUUAGAAAAAAAUUAAAAAAAAAAAAAACAAAUAUAAAAGAUCUCAUCAAAAA